CCUGCUGAACUUGAGCGUAUCAAUAAGGGGAGGAAAAGAAACCAGCAGGGAUUGCCUCAGUAACGGCGAGUGAAGCAGCAAAGGCUCAAAUUUGAAACCCUCAGGGAAUUGUAAUUUGAAGGUGGUCUCAGCUAGUUCAAACAUUCUCAAGUCCAUUGGAAAAUGGCGCCAUGGAGGGUGAUAGCCCCGCGAAGAAUCCAUUUUCUUUGACCACCAAAGAGUCGAGUUGUUUGGGAAUGCAGCUCUAAGUGGGUGGUAAAUUCCAUCUAAAGCUGGAUAUUGGUGAGAGACCGAUAGCGAACAAGUACAGUGACGGGAAGAUGAGAAGCACAUUGAGAGAGUGAAAAAGUAUGUGUAGUUGUUGAAAGGGAAGGGCUUGCAAGCAGACACAACCUUCUGGUUGGACCAGCAUCGGGGCGAGGGGAGUAAAACAGAAAAGGAAUUCUAGCUCUCGAGUAUUAUAGACCUUUUCCACUUCCACAAAUUCCAUCUCAUCCCGAGGCCUGUGGUUAUGUUAGGAUGCUGGCGUAAUGGUUGCAAGUCGCCCGUCUUGAAACACGG
RNAcentral lists this non-coding RNA (561 nucleotides) under Metschnikowia bicuspidata var. bicuspidata NRRL YB-4993. Its description in RNAcentral is "Eukaryotic large subunit ribosomal RNA". It matches the Rfam family "Eukaryotic large subunit ribosomal RNA", at positions 24 to 664 of the family's 3401-position model. The record is from Rfam by way of RNAcentral. Lineage: Eukaryota; Fungi; Ascomycota; Pichiomycetes; Serinales; Metschnikowiaceae.